UUUUGUUGUGUUUUAGAAGAUUACGACACAUGAUACCGCUCAAUAUAAAGUCUCAGUUGUAUAUGACCUAAUCAGAGCAAAGGCGUUUGUGCGUUACUGCAAGGCAGAAAGGUAGCAGUUACAGCCCCUGAAGAGCCUUUGAGAUGGAGAUGACCUCCUAAUGAGCAUUGGCCAUGCAAAGACCACCAAUGAAGAGGCAUAGAGCAGAUGGAAGAAAACACACAUUGUUGGAGUCACCAGAAGCCCUGAACCAGCACGCAUCCUCCGACAGCUUCUCAGCUCUCGCAUCUGACUGAUGACCGCAUGUCAGCCAAUCAGACGGACUCCAACGAGGUCCCCGUAAACGAAGACAAAAAAGACUACAACACCCGGCCCCCCAACACCCGCCACAGUCCAUUGACAGUCGUCUGAAACCGCAAGCACACUAAUCAGCAUAAAACUGCGUGACACAACCCCCAACUGGCCUCUUUCUCGCAAUUUACAGCCCCCCUCCACUAUUGUCCAGGAAUGUUCCUGUUCUCCUGCAGUCAGGGAGUGAAGAAUGCCUUCAUUCUCUCCCCAGCUAUGCGGGAAUUAUGCCACAGAGGAUUAGUAAAUAAAUACACAGCUUAAAAGGCUAAUGCCCAAACACAUAUAUGCUAAUUAUCUGUGCAGAUGCCACUUUCACAGUUUCACUUUGUGCUGAAGCUAUCAAGAGGCUGUUUGUAGGAUGUGGCAAAACCCUUGUUUUUGCUGACAGCUGUAGAUAUACGUAGAUGCAUAUUUCAGAUCACAUAAUGGGAUGAAGGCUGGAAAGGGCAAAGA
Long non-coding RNA from Paramormyrops kingsleyae, 804 nucleotides. RefSeq lists it as uncharacterized. The record is from RefSeq and is a predicted model, not a curated record. Lineage: Eukaryota; Metazoa; Chordata; Actinopteri; Osteoglossiformes; Mormyridae.